Molecule: ribosomal RNA, 464 nt
Filed under: uncultured Saprospiraceae bacterium
Lineage: Bacteria; Pseudomonadati; Bacteroidota; Saprospiria; Saprospirales; Saprospiraceae
Description: bacterial SSU rRNA
Rfam family: Bacterial small subunit ribosomal RNA
Source: RNAcentral
UCCUACGGGGGGCAGCAGUAAGGAAUAUUGGUCAAUGGGCGAAAGCCUGAACCAGCCAUCCAGCGUGCAGGAAGAAGGCCCUAUGGGUUGUAAACUGCUUUUAUCAGGGAAGAAACCUCUGGAUUCACUCCGGAGCUGACGGUACCUGAAGAAUAAGCACCGGCUAACUCCGUGCCAGCAGCCGCGGUAAUACGGAGGGUGCGAGCGUUAUCCGGAAUUACUGGGUUUAAAGGGUGCGUAGGCGGCUUUGUAAGUCAGGAGUGAAAGGUUGCGGCUCAACCGUAAAAUUGCUUCUGAUACUGCAUAGCUAGAAUUAGGAUGAGGUCAGCGGAAUGUGGCAUGUAGCGGUGAAAUGCAUAGAUAUGCCAUAGAACACCAAUUGCGAAGGCAGCUGGCUAGACCUGGAUUGACGCUGAGGCACGAAAGCGUGGGGAGCGAACAGGAUUAGAUACCCCUGUAGUCAA